Long non-coding RNA from Ictalurus punctatus (channel catfish), 2661 nucleotides. The record is from Ensembl. NCBI's taxonomy places the organism in Eukaryota, Metazoa, Chordata, Actinopteri, Siluriformes, Ictaluridae.
AAAUGUUAAAGUAUUGUAUAAAAGAAUCGCACGUGUUGUUUAAACUAGAAGACAAGUUUUUCGCUAGAUGUCUUCCAAUCGCUGGAUAAAGCAGGAAUGAGGUUAAAAAACAAUUCAGCUCUCUCUCUCAGUACACUCCCCAUCCACACGUGUUUCAACGGCAGACAGUUUCUGUAGAUCGCGUAAAUUUAUGACUCUAUCGGACUGUUCUGUAUGUGAACCUAACUCAUGACUCUUUGUGUUUUCCUGACCGACAGUUCUGUAGGUACACUUAAUUUAUGACCAAGGGUGGGUGUAAUCCUAUCACUUUGUUUAUGUUAAUGAGUCAGUGUCUGGGGUGUUAAUGGCUUUUUAUUUUGAGGAAUAGGAGAUGCCUGUCUAUCGUACCAGUCUCUAGCACUGCAGGUGAUGCUGACGCUGUGUCUGUUCUGGACAUCGUUGAGGAAAUAAAAUUUCUGCACAAGGCAAGCGGUACAUACAUGUGUUAUUAUUUAUAAGUGUUCAUGCCUGUAAAAUUGUGUGGUGGGUGCUAGCGACCGGAGACAUGCUCAGGUACAUGCUCCGACUGAUGAUUGUAGAGACACAGACUUAGUGACACCUACAACACCGGAACUUAAGAGGUCAAGUUGUUCCCCCGGGCCGGCAGACGAGUCAGCUGUGAAUGAACGAGCUCCCUCUGAAUAGUUCGAUAUAGAGUCCGUUUUGAGCUGGGAUCACGAGUUGUUUGAAUCGUGGGACGCUUGUGCAUUUUCCCAGGCUCAUGGAGAAACACGUGCCAGUGAAUGUCUGACUGCGGAAGACAACGACUCUGAGACUCUACCUUCAGACCAAGAAUUUUACAGUCGUGAGUCACCGGUUGUUAAAGACAACAGAGCCUUAUUUGAGCUAAUAUAAACCGGUUUCAAGACAAUCAAGGGGCAUAUUGCGGACCUUGAAAAGCGUUUUGCUGUCAUCAAGGAGCGUCAGGACGGCAUUGAGAAGAAGCAGAGUGUUUAUAAUCAAUCUGUGAUGGAAACUUUACAACGACACACCAUCUCGCAUAAACAUAUUAUAGCUACACAGAGACUCCAUGCUGGAGAGAAUCGCCACGUUGGUCAUAACCAAAACCUGAAGAUGGAUUUGUUAAAGCAGGUUGUACACAUACUUAAAAAAAACAAACUCAGGUGAGUUGUACAAUACGUUUUCAUACAUCUGUGUGUUUGCUUGUAUUAAUUGUUGAUUCGAUACUGUUUACUGUUUGUGUUAUUUUUUACUAGUUUUUUUAUAACCAUAGUUGUUUCAAAAUGUUUUGUUUAAAUUUUCUGGUAAACUGGUUUAAAAAUGUUAAUAUUAAAAUAGUGGUGUUCCAUAGAACGUGUACUGGUAUGUUGGAACGGUAUACGUCCAAUUACGUGCCUCAUAACCUUGUUCUUGUAUCUGCACAACGACCAUUAUUUCAUGAUUAAGAAUCUGAAAGCGUGAAUAGGUACACCAUACGUGUACGACUACUGUCACAGUUUUACUAGACGUAGAGACCAUAGGUGUAAAUAUGUUUGUGAUGUUUGUAAUGCACCUGAUUGUCAUAAAUACGUUGUCAAAACGAGGCAAUGUCACGAUCGUUUGCGUUACUGCAGAUCUGCCUAUUGUUAUAAAGCACAUAAACAAACGCAAUUAGGACAAUAGUACGCCCAGUGUGAUGUCACUAAAUACUGUCAGAAAUGUAAUAGUAACUGCAGGAAUCUCUAAUUCUCAGUCAUGGGCUGGUGGCUCUUCAUGAUCCUAGUUAUAUUGCAGUGGAAUGCCAGGAGUCUUAUAGCUAAUGGACAAGAAUUCAAAAAGUUUGUGACUGAUCUGUUAGAUAAACCUCAGGUAAUAUGUGUGCAAGAGACGUGGUUAAAACCACAGUUAGACUUUGUGAUUUAUGGAUAUACUACAAUCAGAAACGAUAGGGAAACGGGUAAAGGUGGAGGGGUAGCAACUUUUGUAAGAAAUGAUGUGAAAUAUAACCUAGUCAAUAAAGGGAAAGAACAUGAAUCUGUGGUAGUCAGAAUACAGACAGGAAAAGACAGUAUAAUGAUAGUCAACUUUUAUAAUCCCUGUAAUAGACUGAGCACUGAUACACUGAAUGCAGUAUGUGGGGUGACACAAGGGAAAACAGUAUGGUGUGGGGAUUUUAAUGCACACAGCACGAUAUGGAGGAGUAAGAACACAGAUAUAAAUGGGUCAGUAAUAGAGGAAUUUAUAGAUGAUAAAAACCUGGUAUGUGUUAAUGACGGGAAGGGCACACAGUAUAGUAGUUCACAUAACACAGAAAGCGCUAUUGAUCUGACGAUAAUGUCAACUGAAAUGGCAGGAAUCAGCUUAUGGGAGGUUUUAGACCAGUCGACAGUAGGUAGUGAUCACUAUCCAAUAAUAACCAGGAUAGAAGUAGAGAUACACCAGGAUAGCGAAUUGAAAACACCAAGGUGGAGGUUAGAUAAAGCUGAUUGGCAGAUGUUCCAAAUGCUAAGUGAAAUAAAAUGUGUGGAAUUAGUGAAUAAGGAUAUUAGAGAUGUAGAAGAAAUGAACAGGAAAGUGACUAGGGCAAUUAUACAAACAGCUGAAGAAACAAUUCCUAAAAAGACAAGAAUUGAACAAAGAAAGAGCGUGCCAUGGUGGAAUGAGAGCUGUACUAUAGUAAUU